GACGAACGCUGGCGGCGUGCCUAAUACAUGCAAGUUGAGCGAUGAAGAUUGGUGCUUGCACCAAUUUGAAGAGCAGCGAACGGGUGAGUAACGCGUGGGGAAUCUGCCUUUGAGCGGGGGACAACAUUUGGAAACGAAUGCUAAUACCGCAUAAUAACUUUAAACAUAAGUUUUAAGUUUGAAAGAUGCAAUUGCAUCACUCAAAGAUGAUCCCGCGUUGUAUUAGCUAGUUGGUGAGGUAAAGGCUCACCAAGGCGAUGAUACAUAGCCGACCUGAGAGGGUGAUCGGCCACAUUGGGACUGAGACACGGCCCAAACUCCUACGGGAGGCAGCAGUAGGGAAUCUUCGGCAAUGGACGAAAGUCUGACCGAGCAACGCCGCGUGAGUGAAGAAGGUUUUCGGAUCGUAAAACUCUGUUGGUAGAGAAGAACGUUGGUGAGACUGGAAAGCUCAUCAAGUGACGGUAACUACCCAGAAAGGGACGGCUAACUACGUG
Molecule: ribosomal RNA, 497 nt
Filed under: uncultured bacterium
Lineage: Bacteria
Description: partial 16S ribosomal RNA
Rfam family: Bacterial small subunit ribosomal RNA
Source: RNAcentral